Molecule: unclassified non-coding RNA, 240 nt
Filed under: soil metagenome
Description: partial contains 5.8S ribosomal RNA, internal transcribed spacer 2, and large subunit ribosomal RNA
Source: RNAcentral
AACCAUUCUCACCUGCGGCUAGACCUGCGGAGGGAUCAUUACGAGAGUGUCACCACUCCCAACCCAUUGUUUACCUACCCGUCCACCGUGCUUCGGCAGGCAGCCCUGUGGGACAGAGCCUCGCCCCCUUUCGCGGGGGGUGCCUGCCGCUUGCCAACCAAAACUCUAGCUGUUUUAGUACCAUCUGAGUCUUCCACAAAUGAACAAAACUUUCAACAACGGAUCUCAGAUCGGAAGAGC